AUGGUUUGCAGUGGUGGUCGGAGCCGAGGGUCUAGCCUGGUGCACCAUUGGUGCUCGCCCACGGAGCGGGCGGUUGCCUUGGCGUGCGUACCCACGACGGCGGUUCUGGCGGUGGUUCCAGGCGAAAAAGCGGCGGCGAGGGCCACUCCUUGCGCCAAGUCCCUGACGGCGACGGCGACUUGCAGCACGGUGGCGAUGGGUGCGUGGACAGCGACGGUUCUCUCUCUGGAGGAAGCGUGCAAUGGCGAAAGCAAUCGACGACAGGUCCCUCCCUGCCAUUCUUACCUUUCCUGUGAUGGCUCUCUGUCGCUCUCGGCAGAGCGAGUACUGAUAACGUAUAAAGUGAAAAAGUGA
This 354-nucleotide ribosomal RNA is filed under the name Triticum aestivum (bread wheat). RNAcentral's name for it is "partial small subunit ribosomal RNA". Lineage: Eukaryota; Viridiplantae; Streptophyta; Magnoliopsida; Poales; Poaceae. The record is from RNAcentral.